This 1367-nucleotide ribosomal RNA is filed under the name Kocuria rosea. RNAcentral describes it as "bacterial SSU rRNA". It matches the Rfam family "Bacterial small subunit ribosomal RNA", at positions 67 to 1442 of the family's 1533-position model. The record is from RNAcentral. Lineage: Bacteria; Bacillati; Actinomycetota; Actinomycetes; Micrococcales; Micrococcaceae.
CGAUGAUGCCCAGCUUGCUGGGCGGAUUAGUGGCGAACGGGUGAGUAAUACGUGAGUAACCUGCCCUUGACUCUGGGAUAAGCCUGGGAAACUGGGUCUAAUACUGGAUACUACCUCUURCCGCAUGGUGGGUGGUGGAAAGGGUUUUACUGGUUUUGGAUGGGCUCACGGCCUAUCAGCUUGUUGGUGGGGUAAUGGCUCACCAAGGCGACGACGGGUAGCCGGCCUGAGAGGGUGACCGGCCACACUGGGACUGAGACACGGCCCAGACUCCUACGGGAGGCAGCAGUGGGGAAUAUUGCACAAUGGGCGGAAGCCUGAUGCAGCGACGCCGCGUGAGGGAUGACGGCCUUCGGGUUGUAAACCUCUUUCAGUAGGGAAGAAGCGAGAGUGACGGUACCUGCAGAAGAAGCGCCGGCUAACUACGUGCCAGCAGCCGCGGUAAUACGUAGGGCGCAAGCGUUGUCCGGAAUUAUUGGGCGUAAAGAGCUCGUAGGCGGUUUGUCGCGUCUGCUGUGAAAGCCCGGGGCUCAACCCCGGGUCUGCAGUGGGUACGGGCAGACUAGAGUGCAGUAGGGGAGACUGGAAUUCCUGGUGUAGCGGUGAAAUGCGCAGAUAUCAGGAGGAACACCGAUGGCGAAGGCAGGUCUCUGGGCUGUUACUGACGCUGAGGAGCGAAAGCAUGGGGAGCGAACAGGAUUAGAUACCCUGGUAGUCCAUGCCGUAAACGUUGGGCACUAGGUGUGGGGGACAUUCCACGUUUUCCGCGCCGUAGCUAACGCAUUAAGUGCCCCGCCUGGGGAGUACGGCCGCAAGGCUAAAACUCAAAGGAAUUGACGGGGGCCCGCACAAGCGGCGGAGCAUGCGGAUUAAUUCGAUGCAACGCGAAGAACCUUACCAAGGCUUGACAUUCACCGGACCGCCCCAGAGAUGGGGUUUCCCUUCGGGGCUGGUGGACAGGUGGUGCAUGGUUGUCGUCAGCUCGUGUCGUGAGAUGUUGGGUUAAGUCCCGCAACGAGCGCAACCCUCGUUCUAUGUUGCCAGCACGUGAUGGUGGGGACUCAUAGGAGACUGCCGGGGUCAACUCGGAGGAAGGUGGGGAUGACGUCAAAUCAUCAUGCCCCUUAUGUCUUGGGCUUCACGCAUGCUACAAUGGCCGGUACAAAGGGUUGCGAUACUGUGAGGUGGAGCUAAUCCCAAAAAGCCGGUCUCAGUUCGGAUUGAGGUCUGCAACUCGACCUCAUGAAGUCGGAGUCGCUAGUAAUCGCAGAUCAGCAACGCUGCGGUGAAUACGUUCCCGGGCCUUGUACACACCGCCCGUCAAGUCACGAAAGUUGGUAACACCCGAAGCCGGUGGNCCUAACCCC